UGUGUCAUUAUUUUUAUUCUUUUUGUGUUUCCUCAGGCUGGUUUCCGCUCCAAACUCUCAGAGAAUGUGUUUGAUCUGCUGGAUCUGUCACCUGCAGUGGUAACACACACUCACUCACACACACACACACAGAGAGAGACUAAAUGAGUCUUUAAACCUGUGGAGAUGAGAAUAUAAAAAUGUGUGUGUGUGUGUGUGUGCGUCUCUUAGGACAGGAAGGAAGCCGAGGGCGAGGCAGAUGUGGACAGCUGUGUGGAUGUCUCUGACUCUGCAGACAGGCAUGUGUUGCGUGAUGAAGAAGAGAAGAAGAGACAAGAAGAGAGGGAGGAAGAGGAGAAGAGAAAGCGUGAGGAAGAGGAGAAGAGACGAGUAGAGAGGGAGGAAGAGGAGAAGAAGAGACGAGUGAGGGAGGAAGAGGAGAAGAGAAAGCGUGAGGAAGAGGAGAAGAGACGAGUGGAGGGGGAGGAAGAGGAGAAGAAGAGACGAGUAGAGAGGGAGGAAGAGGCGAAGAAGAGACGAGUAGAGAGGGAGGAAGAGAAGAGAAAGCGUGAUGAAGAGGAGAAGAGACGAGUAGAGGGGGAGGAAGAGGAGAAGAAGGGACGAGUAGAGAGGGAGGAAGAGGAGAAGAGAAAGCGUGAGGAAGAGGAGAGGAAGAGACUGGAGGACUCAGAGAGACAGAUGGAGGAGGAGAGGAGCAGACUGAGGGAGGAGACACAGGGGAGACUGCAGCUGCUCAGAGAGGCUCUGAUGGAGGACGAGGAGCGCCGAAUGAAGGAGGAGAGUGCUGAGUUGCUCCGGGUCCUGAAGGAGCAGAUGCUCAAACAGAGACGAGACGAGGAGGAGCGACUGAACAACGACAUGCACACACAACUACAACAGCUCAGGCUUGAGAAUGAGGUGAAGCUGCAGGAGCUGUGCUCAGAACUGGAGGCGGAGCGAGAGAGGGUGGAGACUCUGAGGAGGCGGGACCUUGAGCACCUGAGGGAGGAGUCAGAGGAGGAGCUCCGGGCUGAGAGGAGGUGGCUACAAGAGAAGAAGGAGGAGCAGCUGACCUCCAUCAGACUACAGGUGUGUGUAUGAGAGUGUGUGUGUGUGUGUGUGUGUGUGAGAGUGCACCAAUGGUAAUACAGUGUGUGUGUGUGUGUGUGUGAGAAUCCACCAAUGGUAAUACAGUGUGUGUGUGUGUG
RNAcentral lists this long non-coding RNA (1187 nucleotides) under Sinocyclocheilus grahami. RNAcentral describes it as "lncRNA (ENSSGRG00000017941.1)". The record is from RNAcentral. Lineage: Eukaryota; Metazoa; Chordata; Actinopteri; Cypriniformes; Cyprinidae.